ACUGGAGAGCGGUUGCCUAGAGCAACCCACCGAAGGGGCAAGCGGCGCAAGCUGCAUAAACUCUCAGGUACACAGGACAGAGGGAG
RNAcentral lists this non-coding RNA (86 nucleotides) under uncultured Oceanisphaera sp. RNAcentral describes it as "Glycine riboswitch". It matches the Rfam family "Glycine riboswitch aptamer", at positions 11 to 84 of the family's 94-position model. From Rfam's summary of the family: This family represents the bacterial glycine riboswitch. Glycine riboswitches usually consist of two metabolite-binding aptamers domains with similar structures in tandem. The record is from RNAcentral. Lineage: Bacteria; Pseudomonadati; Pseudomonadota; Gammaproteobacteria; Aeromonadales; Aeromonadaceae.